This 408-nucleotide ribosomal RNA is filed under the name uncultured bacterium. RNAcentral's name for it is "partial 16S ribosomal RNA". It matches the Rfam family "Bacterial small subunit ribosomal RNA", at positions 28 to 526 of the family's 1533-position model. The record is from RNAcentral.
GACGAACGCUGGCGGCGUGCUUAACACAUGCAAGUCGAACGAAGUGGCGAACGGGUGAGUAACGCGUAAUCAACCUGCCCUUCAGAGGGGGACAACAGUUGGAAACGACUGCUAAUACCGCAUACUGAAGGAGGGGAUUGCGUCUGAUUAUCUAGUUGGAGGGGGAACGGCCCACCAAGGCGAUGAUCAGUAGCCGGUCUGAGAGGAUGAACGGCCACAUUGGGACUGAGACACUGCCCAGACUCCUACGGGAGGCAGCAGUUAGGAAUAUUGGUAAAUGGACGCAAGUCUGACCCAGCCAAGUAGCGUGCAGGAUGACGGCCUAUGGGUUGUAAACUGCUUUUAUAUGGGGAUAGGUACCAUAUGAAUAAGGACCGGCUAAUUCCGUGCCAGCAGCCGCGGUAAUUC